AGAGUUUGAUCCUGGCUCAGGAUGAACGCUGGCGGCGUGCCUAAUACAUGCAAGUCGAGCGGUAAGGCCCUUCGGGGUACACGAGCGGCGGACGGCUGAGUAACGCGUAGGAACGUACCCCAAAGUGAGGAAUAAGCCCGGGAAACCGGGUCUAAUGCCACAUAUGCACCUCGGUGUAAAGCUACGGCGCUUUGGGAACGGCCUGCGCCCGAUUAGGUUGUUGGUGAGGUAAUAGCUCACCAAGCCAACGAUCGGUAGCUGGUCUGAGAGGAUGAUCAGCCAGACUGGGACUGAGACACGGCCCAGACUCCUACGGGAGGCAGCAGUAGGGAAUUUUCCACAAUGGGCGAAAGCCUGAUGGAGCAACGCCGCGUGCAGGAGGAAGGCCUUCGGGUUGUAAACUGCUUUUAUCUGCGACGAUUAUGACGGUAGCAGAAGAAUAAGGAUCGGCUAACUCCGUGCCAGCAGCCGCGGUCAUACGGAGGAUCCAAGCGUUAUCCGGAAUUACUGGGCGUAAAGAGUUGCGUCGUGGCAUGUAAAGCGAACAGUGAAAGGCUACGGCUCAACCGUAGAUACAUUGUUCGAACUCACAAGCUUGAGCACGAGAGAGGUACCUGGAAUUCCCAGUGUAGAGUGAAAUCCGUAGAUAUUGGGAGGAACACCGAUGGCGUAAGCAGGUACUGGCUCGUUGC
This 692-nucleotide ribosomal RNA is filed under the name uncultured Candidatus Saccharibacteria bacterium. Its description in RNAcentral is "bacterial SSU rRNA". It matches the Rfam family "Bacterial small subunit ribosomal RNA", at positions 8 to 740 of the family's 1533-position model. The record is from RNAcentral. Lineage: Bacteria; Candidatus Saccharimonadota.